This 300-nucleotide ribosomal RNA is filed under the name uncultured Desulfofustis sp. Its description in RNAcentral is "bacterial SSU rRNA". It matches the Rfam family "Bacterial small subunit ribosomal RNA", at positions 496 to 795 of the family's 1533-position model. Lineage: Bacteria; Pseudomonadati; Thermodesulfobacteriota; Desulfobulbia; Desulfobulbales; Desulfocapsaceae. The record is from RNAcentral.
GGUAACGCGGUUCCAGCGUCCGGGGUAAUACUGAGGGUGGAAGCGUUAUCCGGAUUUAUUGGGUUUAAAGGGUCCGUAGGCGGAUCUAUAAGUCAGUGGUGAAAUCUCACAGCUUAACUGUGAAACUGCCGUUGAUACUGUAGGUCUUGAGUAAAGUUGAAGUGGCUGGAAUAAGUAGUGUAGCGGUGAAAUGCAUAGAUAUUACUUAGAACACCAAGUGCGAAGGCAGGUCACUAAGAUUUAACUGACGCUGAGGGACGAAAGCGUGGGGAGCGAACAGGAUUAGAUACCCUAGUAGUC